This 494-nucleotide ribosomal RNA is filed under the name uncultured bacterium. RNAcentral's name for it is "partial 16S ribosomal RNA". It matches the Rfam family "Bacterial small subunit ribosomal RNA", at positions 28 to 507 of the family's 1533-position model. The record is from RNAcentral.
GACGAACGCUGGCGGCGUGCUUAACACAUGCAAGUCGAACGGAAAGGCCUGUCCUUCCUUGUGUUGGACGGGUACUCGAGUGGCGAACGGGUGAGUAACACGUGAGUGAUCUGCCCCCAACUUGGGUAUAAGCCUGGGAAACUGGGUCUAAUUCCCGAUAGGACUGCAGGGUGGUGCCUGUGGUGGAAAACGAUUUUCUAGUGGUUGGGGAUGAGCUCGCGGCCUAUCAGCUUGUUGGUGGGGUAAUGGCCUACCAAGGCGGCGACGGGUAGCCGGCCUGAGAGGGUGGACGGGCACAUUGGGACUGAGAUACGGCCCAGACUCCUACGGGAGGCAGCAGUGGGGAAUAUUGCACAAUGGGCGGAAGCCUGAUGCAGCGACGCCGCGUGGGGGAUGACGGCCUUCGGGUGGUAAACUCCUUUCGACCGCGAGGAAGCCGCCUGGUUGGAAGGGUGGUGACGGUAGUGGUAGAAGAAGCACCGGCUAACUACGUG